This 3085-nucleotide long non-coding RNA is filed under the name Hordeum vulgare. RNAcentral's name for it is "long non-coding RNA (HVUL_LNC010990)". The record is from RNAcentral. Lineage: Eukaryota; Viridiplantae; Streptophyta; Magnoliopsida; Poales; Poaceae.
ACCAUAUGAUCUGGCAUCAACGAUCUAUUCUUGAAGCUAUUGGUGCUUUCAGUACAAAGGAUCUUCAUGUACUGGAUUUGAGUUUUGUCCAUCAGUUACUAUGUCUUGGGAAGUGUCAUUGGGCUAUCUACGUCAUUCUGCAUAUGCCACAUCUGGAUGAUGCCCCUUACAUCCAUGAAAAGUUAAUCAGGGAAAUUUUGUCACAGUAUUGUGAGAUAUGGAGCAAAGAUGGGGCUCAGAGGCAAUAUAUUGCAGAACUUGGUAUACCAGCAGAAUGGAUACAUGAGGCUCUGGUUAGUAGCAAUAUCGUAACUUCCUGCUAAUUAUCUGACCUGCAGUCAAUGUGUUUUCUUUGAUGAAAAUAUGUCUAACCAUUGAUUACAAAUAUUUAUGAAUGCCACUACGAGAACACUAAGCAUGAUCCUGCUUAGCUGACAAUACCUAUAUGCAGGCUCUUUAUCACGAAUAUUAUGGAGAUCGACAAGGUGCACUGGGAAAUUAUAUUCAAUGCGGCAAUUGGAAUAAAGCUCAUACUAUUUUCAUGACAUCUGUUGCUCAUUCUUUGUUUCUGUCAUGUAAGUCUUCCCUACAAUGCACUAAACAAUAGUUGUAAAGACCCGAUUCAAUGUUUCACUUUCCUACCUACAUAAAUAUGCAGCUAAACCUACUUGGCUACUCCUCCAGAACCUAAUCAAAUGAAGAUUCUUGUGAAUUUCCAUGCUAUUCUCUUAGUUACACUUUCGUUCAUAAAAAUAUGUAUGACUGAGGAUAUCUUAUCAAUUUUGUACUGUUUCUGUUAAUAAACAUUGCAUGAGUUUGUAAUUGCUUGUUUCUUCGGCAUAUGGUUCAGCAAAACAUCAAGAAAUCUUUGACAUUACAAGCGCUUUGGAGAAUCACAGAUCUGAAAUUGCUGACUGGGAUGUUGGGGCUGGAAUAUACAUAGAUUAUUUCGUUAUAAAAAACUCUAUGCAAGAAGAAAGUACUAUGGACGAUGAUUCAGUAAGUAUUUUUACCCAUCAAAGUUUACCUGAAUAUUUCAGAGUCGACACAAUCUUACUUUAUCUUCCAGGACACACUUGAGGGGAAAAAUGAAUUGUGCAAGAGUUUCUUUGAUCGAUUAAAUGAGUCGCUGAGUAUCUGGGGAAGCAAAUUACCCAUUGAGGCAAGGUAAGAUGGUAUCCGUUGAUGUAAUAGAUCUACAACCUGCUAGUAAUCAAAUAUUGAUGUUUACAUGAAAUUGUUUGGACUUUCAUGUCAUGUUUGAACUGAAGUAAUCCUGCUUCUAAGAAACAUAAUUUUGAUUUGCAGUGUUGACAAGUUCCCAUAUAAUUAGAUUCUUUGCAUAGAGCCACAUAUUAAUUUGCACCUGAACUGUAUAACCCAUUUCCAAAUCCAAGCUUCUUAGUCACAAUGGAAAUCGUGGUUAUUCCUUACACGAUUUGGCUGAUUCUUUAAAUCCAUCAACACAUACUGGUAUUCUUAUUUAUUUUAAAACAAAGUUUGAGGCCCAUUCUCAUGCUUGUGUAACUGCGGCAGGGCAUGCUUCUCGAAGAUGGCAGAGGAGCUCUGUGAGCUUCUAAUGAGCUUCCCCGGCGAUGGCUCGACGCCAGAUCUCUUCAUGGGCUGCUUCCAGACGAUGCUUGAUGCCCCUGUCCCCGAUGACCACAGGGCGUCCUACCUGCAGGAGGCAGUCUCUGUUUUCACCAACAUACUUUGCGAGUACUCAUCCUAGUCCUAUGGGACUCAUGGCAUAGUUCCUACGGAUGAUCCAUGACAUAGUUCCUAUGGUGCUCAAGUCAGUCACGGAAUCCGGGUUGCGCAAGAGCUCUGAAUUGGCACACCACGCAUUUGGAACAAGUUACAGAGAUUCCCAUGUCUGAAGCUGAGGGAAAUGUAGAACAUUGCCAUGGUCGGUGCAGACAAUUGCCCACCCCUGCAAACGCAUGAGGAAACCUGACGAUAUUUUUCUGCACGCGUGCCACUUUUCUUGUAACCCGUGUGCCGCACCCAUUCGGGCAUCGUCUUUUUUGUUAUUAUUGUUACGUAGAACAAUAACUCAUGUAGGGUUGUAGUAGAGUGUUUGUGUGUGUUGAAAUGCCAAAGAGUCGGUUGUAGAUUUAUCGCAGGCAAUACGUAGGCUGAUCUUGUUGUUUUGUGGCGUGCGGAUACUGCUUUUCGCGAACCAUGUGAAAGCUGUGGUUUGUUCAAAGGAGAGCGACGAGUGCUUUCGGUGUAAUACCGGGGACGGUAGCAGCACAGCCCACAUGCGUGGGUCACCGGUUUUCGCUCGUUCUCCGUAUGGUGUGUGUCAAGUAGUAUUUCUCAUCGGCCAAAUCAUUGGAGGAAAUGGUUUAUCUUCACGGCAGGAGACAGCGACGCGUUCGCUUCCCACUCACAAGGCACCGUACACCUUCUUCCUUUUCGUAAUAGCAUCAAGUACGGCCGGCUCGAGAAUUCGUCGUCAUAGUCAUCGUUCUAAAACAAAAGGGAUUUCGUCGGUACGUGCUUGCCGUCGUGUACUCCAAGUCGCCAACAACCGGAAGAUAAAACAAGAUUUGUGCCCGUGACUGUGCAGGGGCCUGGAAGAUACAUAUCUCCAACGCCAAUAGCCCCGUGCCUUGCCACCACGUUUGCCACGUCGGGUUCCGGCGACGGCGAGGGUCGCGAACCCACCACCGGCCAACGGGAUUUUAUAGAAGGAGACCGACCACCGAAAACAGCUCCCGCAGCAGGUGGCGCCCAACGGCACCCGGUAAUAAACAAAACCGGCGAUGGCGACACGAACCCACGACGCAGAGUCUUAUCCGGACCGAGCAGAGCACACCGAGUAGCGAGACCCGUCCCGGUAUCCUAUAAAAUGCACCUCACAUCGGAGGAUCCAUCCACAGCAUACAGAGCAAACCAAAGCAUCCAGGUUCCAGAGCAGCAGCAGUUUCGAGCUGAGUUGAGUGUUCUUGGGGUUGCCAAUGGCGGACAUCGCGAUGCUGGUGGCGGAGGAGCACGAGAAGAGGCUGAAGCGAGGGGCGCCCCGCGUCGUCGCCGCCGCGGCCGCCGACGAGGAGGAGGAGGCGUCCAAGGNNNNNNN